This 45-nucleotide non-coding RNA is filed under the name Schistosoma mattheei. Lineage: Eukaryota; Metazoa; Platyhelminthes; Trematoda; Strigeidida; Schistosomatidae. The record is from RNAcentral.
AUCUGGCUAAGGAGUCCCAAAUGGGAUGGAACGUACGUCCUGGAU